UAAUACAGAGGGUGCGAGCGUUAAUCGGAGUUACUGGGCGUAAAGGGCGCGUAGGCGGUUGUGUGAGUGUGAUGUGAAAGCCCUGGGCUUAACCUGGGAAGUGCAUCGCAAACGACAUAACUGGAGUAUAUGAGAGGGUGGUGGAAUUUCCGGUGUAGCGGUGAAAUGCGUAGAGAUCGGAAGGAACGUCAAUGGCGAAGGCAGCCACCUGGCAUAAUACUGACGCUGAGGCGCGAAAGCGUGGGUAGCGAACAGGAUUAGAUACCCUGGUAGUCCACGCUGUAAACGAUGAGGACUAGAUGUUGUUAGGGUCACCUAGCAGUAUCGAAGCUAACGCGAUAAGUCUUCCGCCUGGGAAGUACGGCCGCAAGGUUG
This 375-nucleotide ribosomal RNA is filed under the name uncultured bacterium. RNAcentral's name for it is "bacterial SSU rRNA". It matches the Rfam family "Bacterial small subunit ribosomal RNA", at positions 521 to 896 of the family's 1533-position model. The record is from RNAcentral.